Molecule: ribosomal RNA, 465 nt
Filed under: uncultured bacterium
Lineage: Bacteria
Description: partial 16S ribosomal RNA
Rfam family: Bacterial small subunit ribosomal RNA
Source: RNAcentral
CUACGGGUGGCUGCAGUGAGGAAUUUUGCGCAAUGGGGGAAACCCUGACGCAGCAACGCCGCGUGAGUGAUGAAGGCCUUCGGGUCGUAAAGCUCUGUCAAGUGGGAAGAACCUGCCCUGUGCUAAUAUCACCGGGCACUGACGGUACCACUGAAGGAAGCACCGGCUAACUCCGUGCCAGCAGCCGCGGUAACACGGAGGGUGCAAGCGUUAUUCGGAAUCACUGGGCGUAAAGAGCGCGUAGGCGGUCUCUUAAGUCAGAUGUGAAAGCCCGGGGCUCAACCCCGGAAGUGCAUUUGAAACUAAGGGACUUGAGUAUGGGAGAGGGAAGUGGAAUUCCUGGUGUAGCGGUGAAAUGCGUAGAUAUCAGGAGGAACACCGGUGGCGAUGGCGACUUCCUGGACCAAUACUGACGCUGAGGCGCGAAGGCGUGGGGAGCAAACAGGAUUAGAUACCCUCGUAGUC